This 512-nucleotide ribosomal RNA is filed under the name Gegenes nostrodamus. RNAcentral's name for it is "partial 16S ribosomal RNA". The stretch from base 386 to 512 matches the Rfam family "Bacterial large subunit ribosomal RNA", at positions 2473 to 2600 of the family's 2925-position model. The record is from RNAcentral. Lineage: Eukaryota; Metazoa; Arthropoda; Insecta; Lepidoptera; Hesperiidae.
GUCUUUUUGUUAAUAAUUUAAAGUCGAAUCUGCCCACUGAUUAUAAUUAAAGGGCUGCAGUAUAUUGACUGUACAAAGGUAGCAUAAUAAUUAGUCUUUUAAUUGAAGACUUGUAUGAAAGAUUUGAUGAGAUAUAAACUGUCUCUUUUUUAUAAUUUGAAUUUAAUUUUUUAGUAAAAAAGCUAAAAUAAAUUUAAAAGACGAGAAGACCCUAUAGAGUUUUAUAUUUAAUUUAAUUAUGAAUUUAUAUUUAAAUUAAAAAUUAAUUAUAUUAAUUAUUUUAUUGGGGUGAUAGAAAAAUUAAAAUAACUUUUUUUAAAUAUAAAACAUUAAUUAAUGAAUAUAUGAUCCAUAUUUUAUGAUUAUAAGAAAAAAUUACCUUAGGGAUAACAGCGUAAUUUUUUUUUUUAGUUCUUAUAAGAAAAAAAGUUUGCGACCUCGAUGUUGGAUUAAGAUAAAAUUUAAAUGUAGAAGUUUAAAAUUUUGAUCUGUUCGAUCAUUAAAAUCUUACA